GGCUUUGUGGUGUAAAUUAGCAUAUUGGGUUGCAACCCCGAAGAUGUGGUGAGAGCUACCUUAGCUU
RNAcentral lists this transfer RNA (67 nucleotides) under Heterocarpus sibogae. RNAcentral describes it as "tRNA-Cys". Lineage: Eukaryota; Metazoa; Arthropoda; Malacostraca; Decapoda; Pandalidae. The record is from RNAcentral.